GACGAACGCUGGCGGCGUGCUUAACACAUGCAAGUCGAGCGGAAAGGCCCUUCGGGGUACUCGAGCGGCGAACGGGUGAGUAACACGUGAGUAAUCUGCCCUUGGCUUUGGGAUAACUACCGGAAACGGUGGCUAAUACCGGAUACGACAACCGUCUGCAUGGGCUGGUUGUGGAAAGUUUUUUCGGCCAGGGAUGUGCUCGCGGCCUAUCAGCUUGUUGGUGGGGUAAUGGCCUACCAAGGCUUCGACGGGUAGCCGGCCUGAGAGGGUGACCGGCCACACUGGGACUGAGACACGGCCCAGACUCCUACGGGGGGCAGCAGUGGGGAAUAUUGGACAAUGGGCGGAAGCCUGAUCCAGCAACGCCGCGUGAGGGAUGACGGCCUUCGGGUUGUAAACCUCUUUCAGUACCGACGAAGCGCCGAUGAUGGUGGUGACGGUAGGUACAGAAGAAGCACCGGCCAACUACGUG
This 472-nucleotide ribosomal RNA is filed under the name uncultured bacterium. Its description in RNAcentral is "partial 16S ribosomal RNA". It matches the Rfam family "Bacterial small subunit ribosomal RNA", at positions 28 to 507 of the family's 1533-position model. The record is from RNAcentral.